AUUGAACGCUGGCGGCAUGCCUUACACAUGCAAGUCGAACGGAUCAGGGGAGCUUGCUCUUCUGGUUAGUGGCGAACGGGUGAGUAAUGCAUCGGAACGUACCCAGUAGUGGGGGAUAGCCCGGCGAAAGCCGGAUUAAUACCGCAUACGACCUACGGGUGAAAGCGGGGGAUCGCAAGACCUUGCGCUAUUGGAGCGGCCGAUGUCAGAUUAGCUAGUUGGCGGGGUAAAGGCCUACCAAGGCGACGAUCUGUAGCUGGUCUGAGAGGACGACCAGCCACACUGGGACUGAGACACGGCCCAGACUCCUACGGGAGGCAGCAGUGGGGAAUUUUGGACAAUGGGGGCAACCCUGAUCCAGCCAUGCCGCGUGCGGGAAGAAGGCCUUCGGGUUGUAAACCGCUUUUGUCGGGGAAGAAACGGCCUGCGCUAAUACCGCGGGCUAAUGACGGUACCCGAAGAAUAAGCACCGGCUAACUACGUGCCAGCCGCCGCAGUAA
RNAcentral lists this ribosomal RNA (500 nucleotides) under uncultured bacterium. Its description in RNAcentral is "partial 16S ribosomal RNA". It matches the Rfam family "Bacterial small subunit ribosomal RNA", at positions 29 to 523 of the family's 1533-position model. The record is from RNAcentral.